RNAcentral lists this long non-coding RNA (4647 nucleotides) under Sus scrofa (pig). RNAcentral describes it as "lncRNA (ENSSSCG00025073228.1)". The record is from RNAcentral. Lineage: Eukaryota; Metazoa; Chordata; Mammalia; Artiodactyla; Suidae.
CCACAGCCACAGCAAUAUGGGAUCCAAGGCGCAUUUGCAACCUACACUACAGCUCAUGGCAAUGCCGGAUCCUUUACCCACUGAGCGAGGCCAGGGAUCAAACCCGCAAUGUCAACGUUCCUGUAUGGGUUCAUUUCCAUUGCGCCAUGACAGGAACUCCAUAUUGACCCACAUUCUGAUUGAUCCUUUAAAAAUGGAAGCCCAGUCAUGUCACUUCUUGGAGCAAUAAGUGGUUCUCCAUCAACAGUAAAAGCCAAAGACCUCCACCUCCUUCUGCCAGCCCCUCGGACCACCCACCCAACCCUCUCCCACCUCAUUCUGCCCCGUCCUGUGGGCACAUCACACACCUGUGCUGUCCCCUCUGCCUGGAACGCUCAGCCUCAGACAUACAUCUCCACGACUCCUUCCCGCACCUUCUUCAGAGGCUGCUCAAAAACACACCCUUACGUAAAAAACAGAUACCCAACAAGGACCCACUGCAGAGCACAGGAAACGCCACUCCAUGGUCCAUAAUAACCCGUAAGAGAAAAGAAUAUGAAAAGGAAAAAAAUAUAUGUAUAGACCACACAUAACUGAAUCACUUUGCUGUACACCUAAAACUAACACAAUACAGCAAGUCAACUAUACUUCAAUAAAAUUAAAAAAAAAAGUCACCUCUCAAAGGCUGAGCUUUCUUACCCAGUUUGUUUAUUUCACAGCUCCUACCACUUUCUGGCUUACUUUACACUUCUGUGUGUCUGUCUGUGGUUUGUCUUCACCACCCCUCCCCUCCCCUGGAUGGAAGCUCCCGAAGGGUAGGAACUUCGCUUUUUCUUCCUUGUCUGUAAGUCCCAGAACACAUAACGGGUGACACACAGUGUCAGCAACAAAUACAGACAGGGCGAAUGGACAUGUCUCUACCCAACCUUGUAGGAAAGUGGGCAGGAUGAGGAUACACACGUUAAAGUAGGAUUAAAGUAGGGUGAGUCAGGAAUGCAGCAGGUUCCCACUGUGGUGCCGGAGGUUAAGGAUCCGGAGGUGUCACAGCAGUGGCUCAGGAUAACGAUGCAGAACACAGAAACAAGAGCCUACUGUACAGCACAGGAAACUCUACUCGAUAUCUUAUAAUAACCUAGACUAGCCAUACAUAUGGUUAUAUAUAUAUGUGUGUGUAUAAAUAUAUAUAUACAUAUAUAAUGUAUGUGUGUAUAACUGAGUCACUUUGUUGUACACUUGAAACUAACACAACACUGUAAAUCGACUAUACUUCGGUUUUUAAAAAACCCACAUAUAAGUGGAAUCAACAGGCAUGGAGCCAGAGUCGCACGUCCUAAAGCUCCAUCUGGGAGCAGGUGUAGAGGACUCAGCGGGGGUCCAGGCUGCCCUGCACAGAGGCUCACAGGAGCCAUGCCACAGGAGCAUCUGAGUGUGGCACCAGUGGCAUUUGCUUGUUCUCUCUGCAGAAGUCUGUGCAGGUGACGAUCCUGGGGCUGCACACCCACCACCGAGUGUGUUCCACCCACUGGUGUCUCCCUAGGGCAGGGGGGGGGGUGUGGUCCUGUGGGAAAAUGGAGGCGGGUCUUUCUCUUGGGGACCCGUGUGCCUGGGCUUUGGGGGUCCAAGCCACUGGAGCUGCCUGCGCCGCUGCAUCCUCUCCAGUCCUCCCCGGAGCGGGAGGACACAGGGAGUCAGCGCGACCCUCUCAAAGCUGGAGAAGUGCUUGAUAUUUCCUGUGAUCCAGCCAUCAUGAGAGGGAGAGGCUGCAGAAACGCGCUUCCCAUCACGCAAGCCCUCACAGAACGAGACGAACCAACACUUGGCAGAGUGAGAGAUAAGGAGGAUGCUUCAAAAAUAAAAUUAAAGAAAUAAAGACAUGUUGAUGAAAAUACAUGCAGGGAACAGUAAACCUCCAUGAAACGAUCAGGCCACCUCUCUCUCCUGGCACCAAAUCCAGUUCUAAUGAAUCUCUAAAGAGUCCCUAAUUAUGGGCGGGAUUUAUUUUUCCAGGCUUUCCACAGAAUCCGUUUCUGUAAAACAAGAGCAACGAGCUUUGUUCUAUGUUUUUUAGAAAAGGAAAACUGAACGUGCUGGCGAUUCUCCCUCUGUCCCUCGUGACCCUCAGCCCACACCCCCUGCCCCUGCUCCGAACCCUAGGCCAGACCCGGCUCCUGGGGGGCUUUGGACCCCACCCCCGCCAGAGGAUCUGGUCAAAGGGAGAGUCCAGGACACUUAUUCCUCUUUCCUCUCCUGGCCCAGGGCUCCCAUCAAGCACCCCAUCCGUGGCUCACAGCACUGGGGGCCCUGCUCUCCUUUGCUUCCGAGGCCCAGGGAGGUCACGGCCCCUCACUGUGGCUACUCUCUGGCGGCUUUGCCUUCUCCUCUUGGUCCUCUUGCCCUGCCUGCUUCUUGGUAAGGAGACCUUUCUUGAAACGCCCUCUGUCGCCUGAAGAACUUGUGUUCCGGGGGGGAACAUCCCAUUCAGGGGGAAGACGCAGCCUGGCAGCUGUGUCUCCUCCAGGAGCAGCAGGGCUGGGAGACGGGCCGAGCGCUCUGGAAACGGGCAGGGCAGGGAGCUUCAGCCACGUCCAAGGCCAGGCUGCUGGCUGGGGGCCUCUCUUGCUGGGGCAUGACCUCUCUCUGACCUCAAGGCCACCUAAGUUAUUUUAGGAAUGCAAGAGAAUGACGCACCAGGAUAAGAAUGAGAUGCUGUCAUCUCAGAAUAAAAGGUCCACCUUCCAUUCACCUCCGUGAGCUGUCAGAACCGAAAGGCUGUGCUUCUGGGCUGUCAACCGCCAGGGCGAAGACUGAAAAAGGAAUAUACCAGGAAGAUGACUGCACCGAACAGGAGUCUGAGACGUUCCGCUCGGUAGCCGGUGUCACGAUAGUAAUGCGAGCACCAGACUGUGUUAAGGUCCUUGGGAGAAAGAAGACCACUGAGUGUCGCCCGUUUCCAGCUGCAUAACCGGCAUUCUGUAGACCCAGCCAGAGGGCAUCUCUUUAAUGAAUUAGCCAUUUGGUUUUCUCACAUUAAAUGGAUGGGUAAAGGUGUCAUAUUAUCAUGGGGCGGCGUCUGGAUAGGAUGAUGCCCAGGGCAGUCGUGACCACAGAACGCUGCGACCGUGAACUUGGGGUUGGUGGGAUUGUUAACACCCCUUAGUAUGAAUCAGAGAGAGGCAUCUUCUCGAAAACAGAACUUCCCGUCCAUCAGCUGGAGCAGCGGGCGUGCUCCGUGGUUAAUGUCAAAGGGUUUGUAACUUGGAUAAGAUGCUAUGCUUGCUGCCCAAUCUCAUCUCAGAUCUGAUCAGUCCUCCAGAAACACAUUAAGACUAAAAAUGGUUUCAAAUGGAUCUGAGGGCAGUUUUAGCACCAAGCAAAGCAGCAUUCUGGCUAAUGUCCCUCCUCUAAUGAGGAGAAAGGGCGGUCGUAUUAGCCCUCUGACAUCAAUUUGUAACUUAUCAGCCGCCACAGCAGCCAGCCAGAUUUCAAGUGACCGGAAUAAGAGGAAGCAUUUCGUGACUUGGGAAGAGUACUUUCUAUUAUUCUCAAGGGUUCCAAGGCCAGAUCAUGGCAACUACCAGAUAUGUUCAAUAAUCAUAACCCAUGUUUUCUGAGCUCUGAUCCUGCACCCAGCAUUGUCUGCGUGACUUGCUGUGCCUGGUCUGAUUUGAUGCUCCAAGAUCUAGUGAGUGAGGGAUUCUUGCCUCCAUAUACUAGAAAGCAAAGAGUCCUAAUUUAGUAGACCUGUCUGAAUGCUAAUAUUGGUACUGGUGAUAAUAACAUCCAUGAAAUGGUUCGCCAAGCUAUAAAAAAAUAAUUCUUAAAAUGGAGUAGGGGAAAAGAGCAAUAUUCCAGCUGAAGCCAACUCUUCUGUUCUCUUGGCAAAUGACGCCCUAGCUCUUAGUCUCUCCCGGGGGUGAGUGUGCUUUCCAGCACCCUUCUGAUGGAAAGUUCCACAAAAUGUGUAAGAGGGUGCAAAGCACCCCCUCUGACCUCGCUCUCGGUAUUACCCUCCUGGUAAACCUGAGGGUGUGGGAUUCAGUGAGAAGCGCCUGACAGAGAGGCAUUUCAAACUGCAGGCUAAAGAUGCUGCUGGUCUUGGGGUGUGUGUGGUCACCUGAAUAUGCACGUCUAGUCCUGUUGGCUUUAUAGGGUCCCAUUCCAUUGCUUCUUGCGGUGCAUGACCAAAGAGGGUCUUCACUGUAAAAGAAAGGGACGCCUCUGGCCAAAACACCCACCCCGGGUGAAACCUGCCAGAACAUUUCCAGGCUGGCCCGCGGCCCAUGCCAAGGCUUCUGUGUGGACGACCACCCAGACGUUAGCACACUGGAGCCACCCGAACGUGGCUCCGGGUCAUUCUGUUUACGACACUCUUCUUAAUACCUUAUGGGCUUGGUAGCAUCAGCUCCAGCUAACAAGGAGUGUUCAUCCCCACAGGCUCCGAGAAGGGCUUCGCCUGUGUCUGUGACUUCCACAAACGUGUGGCUGCUGGCCCUGGUCCAGCCUGGGGAUGGUGCUAGAUUUUUACAACCAACGCUCAGUUAUCUCAAAAAAAAAAAAAAGCGGUUAUAGUCUAAUUGGAUUUCACAGAACAAGCAGGUGUGGGCUGAAGGGAAACCCCAGGUCCCUGAAAGUCUAAAACAGCUCUGCAGGAAAAACAAGGUGAGUUUG